RNAcentral lists this ribosomal RNA (311 nucleotides) under Discosomaticus sp. MZSP 73104. Its description in RNAcentral is "partial small subunit ribosomal RNA". Lineage: Eukaryota; Metazoa; Arthropoda; Arachnida; Opiliones; Cosmetidae. The record is from RNAcentral.
CCCUAGUAUGAAAAAUUUAUAUGAUUAUUAUGUUGUGAAAUUUAAAAUUUUUGGCGGUUAAGUAUUAAAUUAGAGGAGUUUGUUUUUUAGAAAUUACUCUUUGGAUUUAAUUAAUUUUUGUUUAUUUAUCUCCGUUAUUAGGUUUAGAUUAUAUAAGUUUGCUCUAAUAUUUCAGGUCAAGAUGUAGCAAAGAUUAAUGAAAAUUAACUACAAUUAUGAAGUAAUGGAUUUAAUUUUUGAAAAUGAUGUUGAAAUUGAAUUUAGUUGUAAUAAAGUUUAGAAAGUUUUUAUGAAGUAGUAUGUUUAAUGUA